This 231-nucleotide unclassified non-coding RNA is filed under the name uncultured Agaricales. Its description in RNAcentral is "sequence contains ITS1". Lineage: Eukaryota; Fungi; Basidiomycota; Agaricomycetes; Agaricales. The record is from RNAcentral.
GUGAAUUUGUAGCCUCCCAGGCUCACAUUCUUUAUCAUUUCUCCAACUGUGCACAUACUGUAGACCUGGGAAACUUUUUGAAUUCCAUUCAAAGUUGGGGACUGCUGAGCUUUUCUAACCCAAAAGUCGGCUUUCCCUUGUAUUUUUUCAGGUCUAUGUUGUUAUUUCACAAACUCUAGAAACAUGUUUUAGAAUGUUGAAUGCAGGUCGUUGUACCUUUAUAAAUAUAUA